GUGGGGAAUAUUGGACAAUGGGGGGAACCCUGAUCCAGCCAUGCCGCGUGUGUGAAGAAGGCCUUUUGGUUGUAAAGCACUUUAAGCGAGGAGGAGGCUACCGAGAUUAAUACUCUUGGAUAGUGGACGUUACUCGCAGAAUAAGCACCGGCUAACUCUGUGCCAGCAGCCGCGGUAAUACAGAGGGUGCAAGCGUUAAUCGGAUUUACUGGGCGUAAAGCGCGCGUAGGUGGCCAAUUAAGUCAAAUGUGAAAUCCCCGAGCUUAACUUGGGAAUUGCAUUCGAUACUGGUUGGCUAGAGUAUGGGAGAGGAUGGUAGAAUGCCAGGUGUAGCGGUGAAAUGCGUAGAGAUCUGGAGGAAUACCGAUGGCGAAGGCAGCCAUCUGGCCUAAUACUGACACUGAGGUGCGAAAGCAUGGGGAGCAAACAGGAUUAGAUACCCGAGUAGUCC
RNAcentral lists this ribosomal RNA (451 nucleotides) under uncultured bacterium. RNAcentral describes it as "partial 16S ribosomal RNA". It matches the Rfam family "Bacterial small subunit ribosomal RNA", at positions 354 to 796 of the family's 1533-position model. The record is from RNAcentral.